This 443-nucleotide ribosomal RNA is filed under the name Klebsiella pneumoniae. RNAcentral's name for it is "bacterial SSU rRNA". It matches the Rfam family "Bacterial small subunit ribosomal RNA", at positions 229 to 664 of the family's 1533-position model. Lineage: Bacteria; Pseudomonadati; Pseudomonadota; Gammaproteobacteria; Enterobacterales; Enterobacteriaceae. The record is from RNAcentral.
GCCCAGAUGGGAUUAGCUAGUAGGUGGGGUAAUGGCUCACCUAGGCGACGAUCCCUAGCUGGUCUGAGAGGAUGACCAGCCACACUGGAACUGAGACACGGUCCAGACUCCUACGGGAGGCAGCAGUGGGGAAUAUUGCACAAUGGGCGCAAGCCUGAUGCAGCCAUGCCGCGUGUGUGAAGAAGGCCUUCGGGUUGUAAAGCACUUUCAGCGGGGAGGAAGGCGGUGAGGUUAAUAACCUCACCGAUUGACGUUACCCGCAGAAGAAGCACCGGCUAACUCCGUGCCAGCAGCCGCGGUAAUACGGAGGGUGCAAGCGUUAAUCGGAAUUACUGGGCGUAAAGCGCACGCAGGCGGUCUGUCAAGUCGGAUGUGAAAUCCCCGGGCUUAACCUGGGAACUGCAUUCGAAACUGGCAGGCUAGAGUCUUGUAGAGGGGGGGUA